RNAcentral lists this long non-coding RNA (1229 nucleotides) under Hordeum vulgare. RNAcentral's name for it is "long non-coding RNA (HVUL_LNC013560)". Lineage: Eukaryota; Viridiplantae; Streptophyta; Magnoliopsida; Poales; Poaceae. The record is from RNAcentral.
UUCCGUUUCUGAAUAUAAAUCUUUUAAAAGAUUUACUAAGGAACUACGUAUAAAAAAAUGAAUAAAUUUAUAUUUUAAAGCAUAUCUAUAUACAUCCAUAUAUAAUCUUCUAGUGAAAUUUCUUAAAAGGCUUAUGUUUAAGAAUGGAUGAACUAGAACAAAUAAAAGUUAUCUACCCAAUUGCCUCACGGUACAAUUUUGCCUAAUUUUAACUGACAACUGCUAACAAACUGUUACAUAUAUAAUGCAUUAUGUAACUGGUGAUUAUAAAAAUGAUCUACAAUUAUCUCCGAGGCUACUACGGCUCACUAAUGUUAAUGUACAAGGGUUCCUUCAACUCUAUGUGAACCGUCCCUUCAUGUCAUUUCCGGCCUCGGCGGUGGUGGUUGGGUUUGGCGCGAUGGAGCGGCAUCGGCAGAUAAGACCAAGGACGGGUCGUCACAAAUAUUCUUUCACUCGAGUCUUCCUGUAUUUUCAUAUUUGUUUGUUUACUAGCCGUUUUUAUUGUUUUUCGACUCGUAUAAACAAGUAAAGUAUGCUUGUGGACGUACAGUUUCAAAGACGCACUGAAGUGGGCGGUGUACCUCGAGCUAUGCGAAGCGGAUGGAGCGGAAGCGGACGGAGCUGCGUGCUGGAUGGGAUGGGUCGGCAACAUCGUCGAUGCUGCGUCCACGAGCGACGAGGAAGAAGAUCUACCGCUGUCGGGGCCACAUUGGUCCUCCAACGGCCUCCUCAACGCUAUGUUGGAGGACCGGAGUUGCUUCCGUCGCCGGCCAUCGGAUCAGAGGGAAGGCGAUCGAAAGUGAAUUGGACGGAGAGAGCGAAGUGACAGGUGUCUAGGGUUUUCGGAUAGGGGUAUUUCUGGAGUUGGUGGUGGGCCGGUCGGACAUGGCGGACGUGUCUGGACCGCCUUAUAUACAUCUCAUAUUUAGGGUGGAUAUGAGGGUUGCCGAUCAACCCGAGCAUUUGAGGCCCAUUUAGGACGUCCUUUUUGGUUGAUGUUUUGUGACCGGGUGAUAAUCGAACGACAAGUCCUAUUUGGCGCGAGGGCGCGUCGCCCGUGUAGCCGCCUUAGCUAGGCUCGGUCCAUUUGUUUCAUCCAUUGGGUGCUUUUAAAAUUCAAAAAGCCCCGCUGCUAGAGAAGGGAUUCGAACACGGAAUCUCGUCGUCUAGGGCACGCGCUUACUGCCAUCAUUUCUUUAACUUAUCAUCUUUUUCUUUCAUUUCUU